Cyprinodon variegatus (sheepshead minnow) is the source of this 434-nucleotide long non-coding RNA. RefSeq lists it as uncharacterized. NCBI's taxonomy places the organism in Eukaryota, Metazoa, Chordata, Actinopteri, Cyprinodontiformes, Cyprinodontidae. The transcript has 3 exons. The record is from RefSeq and is a predicted model, not a curated record.
CACAGCAACAGCUGCUUGGUCUGUCUGCCCACUCAAAGCAAGGCAUCCGCCCCCUUAACAUUUUUAGCCAACGUGAGGUCAGUAGAACAUGGUGCAACACUUGGCGUGCUGGAAAGGGUGCAGAGUACGUGGUAUUUAAUUGAGGCCCACAGGCGGACCAUUAAGAAAGAUGUUUCCUCAGCUGAUAAGUUAUGUGACUCGUGGUUUUUUCUGUUAAUCACAUGAGGAGAAGCUCCGGUUUCAUCUUUUGGCACGUCGUGGAUCCCUGCCGUUGCUAAUGGUGACUGAGGACUUUGUGGUCGUUGGAGGUCCAGCAGCGUUGAUGGGCGGCGCACCGUUUCCAGUGGACCGGCCGUUUGGACGCCCCACACCGCCAAAUGUCGGGUCACGGGGCGCGCCUGGUGUUGGGUUAUUGGCAAACGGCGGCAUGGCAC